CCUACGGGUGGCAGCAGUGAGGAAUAUUGGUCAAUGGACGCAAGUCUGAACCAGCCAUGCCGCGUGCAGGAAGACGGCUCUAUGAGUUGUAAACUGCUUUUGUACGAGGGUAAACUCAGAUACGCGUAUCUGUCUGAAAGUAUCGUACGAAUAAGGAUCGGCUAACUCCGUGCCAGCAGCCGCGGUAAUACGGAGGAUUCAAGCGUUAUCCGGAUUUAUUGGGUUUAAAGGGUGCGUAGGCGGUCGGAUAAGUUAGAGGUGAAAUCCCGAGGCUCAACUUCGGCAUUGCCUCGGAUACUGUGCGGCUAGAGAGUAGUUGCGGUAGGCGGAAUGUAUGGUGUAGCGGUGAAAUGCUUAGAGAUCAUACAGAACACCGAUUGCGAAGGCAGCUUACCAAGCUACUUCUGACGUUGAGGCACGAAAGCGUGGGGAGCAAACAGGAUUAGAUACCCGAGUAGUC
Molecule: ribosomal RNA, 460 nt
Filed under: uncultured bacterium
Lineage: Bacteria
Description: partial 16S ribosomal RNA
Rfam family: Bacterial small subunit ribosomal RNA
Source: RNAcentral